CCUACGGGAGGCAGCAGUGAGGUAUAUUGGUCAAUGGGCGGAAGCCUGAACCAGCCAAGUCGCGUGAGGGAUUACGGCCCUAUGGUUCGUAAACCUCUUUUGUCAGGGAGCAAUGCCGUGCACGUGUGCCCGGAUGGAGAGUACCUGCAGAAAAAGCAUCGGCUAACUCCGUGCCAGCAGCCGCGGUUAUACGGAGGAUGCGAGCGUUAUCCGGAUUUAUUGGGUUUAAAGGGUGCUUAGGCGGUACUUUAAGUCAGCGGUAAAAUUGCGGUGCUCAACGCCGUACGGCCGUUGAAACUGGGGUUCUUGAGUGGGCGAGAAGUAUGCGGAAUGCGUGGUGUAGCGGUGAAAUGCAUAGAUAUCACGCAGAACCCCGAUUGCGAAGGCAGCAUACCGGUGCACAACUGACGCUGAGGCACGAAAGCGUGGGUAUCGAACAGGAUUAGAUACCCUAGUAGUC
This 460-nucleotide ribosomal RNA is filed under the name uncultured bacterium. RNAcentral's name for it is "partial 16S ribosomal RNA". It matches the Rfam family "Bacterial small subunit ribosomal RNA", at positions 338 to 795 of the family's 1533-position model. The record is from RNAcentral.